UCACAUGUUACUGAUCAUAUUUUUUACAGAUCAUGAUCAUAAUUAGAAUAUCGAUAACAGAACUCCUAGAGUCUUAAGCCAAAAUAGAACUUUCAACUUUUUAACGGAACUCUAAUAAUAGAACUCUGUUAUCCUACCUGUAGACAAUAUUUCGAAGAACAAAAUCAUCAACAUAUCAUAAACUGAACUCUUGUAUCGACUGUAGCCCCUGUUUCACCAAUCGUAAGAGUAAUUUUUUUUUAUAUCUCACACUCAUGUGAGAAAUUAAAAAUUGGAAAUUUCAGACAAAUUUUACAGAGUACACAAAGAAUAAAAAUUCAUAAUAAAAUGCAUAAAUUUAAAAAUUCAAAUUAAAUCAAAUAAGCCACUAACUUUCGUAUCUUGCUCUGUC
RNAcentral lists this long non-coding RNA (391 nucleotides) under Gossypium barbadense (sea-island cotton). Its description in RNAcentral is "long non-coding RNA (GBAR_LNC023189)". The record is from RNAcentral. Lineage: Eukaryota; Viridiplantae; Streptophyta; Magnoliopsida; Malvales; Malvaceae.